Molecule: ribosomal RNA, 448 nt
Filed under: uncultured bacterium
Lineage: Bacteria
Description: bacterial SSU rRNA
Rfam family: Bacterial small subunit ribosomal RNA
Source: RNAcentral
UCCAGACUCCUACUUUAGGCAGCAUUUUUUAAUAUUUUACAAUUUUUGGAACCCUGAUCCAGCUACUCCGCGUGAGUGAAGAAGUAUUUCGUUAUGUAAAGCUCUAUCAGCAGGGAAGAAAGAAAUUACUUUACCUGACUAAGAAGCCCCGGCUAACUACGUGCCAGCAGCCGCGGUAAUACGUAGGGGGCAAGCGUUAUCCGGAUUUACUGGGUGUAAAGGGAGCGUAGACGGCAGUGCAAGUCUGAAGUGAAGGGCGGGGGCAAAAACAAAGGAAUGCUUUGGAAAAUGUGAUGAUGGAGUGAGGGAGAGGAAAGUGGAAUUCCUAGUGUAGCGGUGAAAUGAGUAGAUAUUAGGAGGAAAACCAAUGGAGAAGGAGGCUUGAUGGAAUGUAACUGAAGUUGAGGAUAGAAAGAGUGAGGAGCAAAAAGGAUUAGAUAAAGUAGUA